GACGAACGCUGGCGGCGUGCUUAACACAUGCAAGUCGAACGGAAAGGCCCCCAUCUUGGUGGGGGUGCUCGAGUGGCGAACGGGUGAGUAACACGUGGGUGAUCUGCCCUGUACUUCGGGAUAAGCUUGGGAAACUGGGUCUAAUACCGGAUAGGACCAUGGUUUAGUGUCUCAUGGUGGAAAGAUUAUUGUUUUGGUGCAGGAUGAGCUCGCGGCCUAUCAGCUUGUUGGUGGGGUAAUGGCCUACCAAGGCGUCGACGGGUAGCCGGCCUGAGAGGGUGGCCGGCCACAUUGGGACUGAGAUACGGCCCAGACUCCUACGGGAGGCAGCAGUGGGGAAUAUUGCACAAUGGGCGCAAGCCUGAUGCAGCGACGCCGCGUGGGGGAUGACGGCCUUCGGGUUGUAAACUCCUUUCGUUAGGGACGAAGCCGCACUUUUUUUGGGUGUGGUGACGGUACCUUUGUUAAGAAGCACCGGCUAACUACGUG
Molecule: ribosomal RNA, 489 nt
Filed under: uncultured bacterium
Lineage: Bacteria
Description: partial 16S ribosomal RNA
Rfam family: Bacterial small subunit ribosomal RNA
Source: RNAcentral